RNAcentral lists this long non-coding RNA (1110 nucleotides) under Sparus aurata (gilthead seabream). RNAcentral describes it as "lncRNA (ENSSAUG00010010535.1)". The record is from RNAcentral. Lineage: Eukaryota; Metazoa; Chordata; Actinopteri; Spariformes; Sparidae.
CUUUCCUUGCAGUCUGAUUGCGCCAGUGCUGGCACACAAACGCUCUUGUUUUUGUGGUGUAUGGAGAACUUCUGGCGGCGUGCUUUAGUAGAGCCGGUCUGCAUUGCGUCGAAACCCUCCAACUCCUCCUCCUCCUACUUCUCCUGCUUCCCUCCCAUCCCCAUCCCCUCUCCUCUCCUCUCCUCUCCUCCCUCCUCUCCCUUUCCCUCUCACCUCCCCUGCACUCGCAUGUAAAACACACGGCAGAAACUUGCCUGACAUAGUGGGGGGAACAUUUGGACCUCGCUGCUGCACCUGCCUGUGCCUCCGACUGUCCAUCUCGAUGUUUUCAGCCUGCUCUCCGCGCUGAAACACAUUCUGCCCGUCAUCUCGUCUACUCGUUAAAAAAAAAAAAAAAAAAAAAAAAGGUAGCAGAUUCCUGCUGAUGCAGUGAUGUCUGGAAAUGCCAAGGGCUCGCUUAUUGCCCCUUACUGUAUCUCCCCCCCUGAACUGCAGCGCAGGAUUUUCUCCUGCGGUAUACUGUAAGCUGUUCACGCCACCGUGAGCAGCCACCGACGCUGCGGCUCUGCCUCUCCGUCUCUCUCCUCAUCAGACCUGCCUGAUUUUCAUCUUGUUUUAUCUCCUUUCGCUUUUCGCCGCCUCAAGGCGUUUAGACCUAUUUGCGGACACAUCUGGGAUGGCGAUGAGCACAGUACGGCUCUAGGCUUUCCCUUUUUCUUUUCUUUCCCCCCUUCUUGCCUCUCUGUGCAAUGUAAAGUUGGCACAUGACACUCACUGGUGCCCUGCUGUUGGAUGAUUCUACUCGAGGAGAAGACGCAUUCAAGACCUUUCAAGAUCAACCCACGAGGCAGCAGUAACAACAGCAGCAGAUGCACCGGAGAGCAGCAAUGGUCAAGUCAGCGAGAACCGCAGUGGAGCCGCACUGAGGCAGAGCAGCCAACCAGCCCCCUCGUAUCUGGGGACGUCUCCAACAAUUUAAGGGGUGUGGGAAGCUGAGGAGUGGAAAAUUUCCCCCCGAACCUGAAUGCCUGCUCAGUCAGACUAACCGACAUCCCAGCGCAACUCCUCCUCCACCUCCUCCACCUCCUCCUCCUCCUCUUCCUCCUCCUC